GUUCUCUCGUGACCAUUUAAGCGAAUGUGUUGAUUUAUUGAGCAUCCUGGAAGAUAAAGAUGUUUUAGACACUCGAAUGGAAAAUACACAUUUUUGCCUGGAAAUGAUGAAUCUUUAUGAUGCUUUCUUUCCUCUCCUCAUGUCUAACAUCCACGCCAUGAAAGUGACCAGAGGAGACUUUUUCUUCUUAGCAAAGAAUUCCCCUUAGGAAGAAAGAAAGGUGUGGCAGUACAGGUUCCCUUGGCCAGGAACACUGCUUCACUCACAGGUGGUCCCUCUUCAUUUUCUGCCUGCUUCUUUCUAUUGUUGGAGUGAUCAGCUUACUGUGACCACCCAGAAGCCAGAGGCAAAGUCGUUCUUCAAAUUUAAAAUCAAAACAGGAUAGCAGGUCUAGAGAACAGAAUUUUUGAAGAACUUAUCACACUCCCUGCAUCAUGUCAGGAACAAAUGCAUGUUAUCUGCACAUUUGUUUCAGGAGUAUAUUCAAUUCUCCGAUAAGCACAGAGGAAGCUCCUUUGGGGAUUCCCUAUACAUGCUGACUUUGCAUAACCUUAGUAGCUCAGUUUUUUAUGAGAACUAUCUCCUUUUUCCAAACAAUCCUCAGCUGGCAACACUGGGAACAAGAGAAAUUCUGGAAUAGCUGUUUAAUUUGUUUUCCUUUCUCCCACUAGCUGGUUUAAUUGUUAUUUAAAACACCUUGCAGAUAUUUUAGUAAUCAUGGUGCGAUUCUGGAUGUUGCUUUUUAAAGGUGAUAGUGUAUCUGUCCUAGAGUAAAAAUACUCAAGCAUAAGUUUGUGAAGAUCAAUUAACAAGUCCAGAAAUCAGCACUUUGAAUACAUGCAUAGGCAAAUCAGAAAGUUUUGCUGCCAUGUGGCACAAAACACAUAAGUAUCACCAGUUUUGGUAGUCAUCAAAAUACUUAGCUCUUCACUCAACCUUUUUCCAUUUUUGUGGUUUAUAAAGUGUUUGUGAUUCCCCUUCAGAUUAAUUGCUUUCUGCUCUGUGAGAGCUUAUGUGUUUUUAUAGACCAUACAGCAAAUAAGCACGUACUGUGAGUUAGGGAGACAGAAGCGUGACCAUUGUGAGUAGAAAGACCUAAAUACAAUGUUGCCAUGCAGCAGAGCAGCUCUUGGAAUUCGGUUGGUCUUACACAGAAAACAGUGCCAGUUACAUGGCCUGACAGGUCGUGGUGUUUAAUAAAACAUAGAAGUGACACAGAAAGCUUUGGCUGCACGUUGGGUUUGGUUUUGUUAGUACAGCUAAUGGCAUGUGGGCUUUGCCAGCCCACAUUUGGACAAAUGAGCUAAAGUGCCACUUCCAGGGAGCUUGGUUUUCUGUCGUAGGCUCUCUUCUCCUUGUGGUUUUUCUAAUUUAAUUUCACAACCUAACAACUGCUUCUGGAAUCAUUGAUGCUAAAUGGGUAUGUUCAUGGGGGUGGGUGGAAAACAGAUGGAGGAUGCUACUGAAAGCCAUCCAUUGUUCUUGUGUUGUUUCAUGUCUUUAUUUCCUCUAUAGCCUCCUAUAAGUUGGCAACUGAGGUCAUCCCAGUUGAGCAGGCACGGGGAGGAAAGCAUACAGGGGCGCUACGGAAAGGUUGAUUGUGGGGUGAGGGAGGGCCCAUGGCAGUGAGGGGGUCUAGCUUGAAAGGUGAGACAGUCAUUCCAGCUCACAGUAGAAUAUGCCAUUUGUCAGACUAGACUAGAGCAGGGUCCUGCCUUGCCCCCAUCGGUGUGUCUGGUAGGAUCACAUGAGCAGUGCAUUGUCCUGACAAGCUAUUGAAGAUACCACCGGUCCACCUGUAUUCUUCUGGUAAGUGAAGCAGUAUUUCAACCGCCUUUAUUAACAGCCCAUCAGUGGCAUCAGUCAUGCAGACUCCUGGGGAGAUCAGACAGGAUGCCAGUUCAGGAGUGGCAAUAGCGCUCCCUCUUCCCCAUGCAAGACGGCAGUAGGGAAUUCGAGAGAGGGAGAGUGACUUCCAUGGAGGGCUAGCCUUAAAUCUACCCUAUUCUGUGACAGCGGAUCCUUCACAAAGGUUGGACACUUUUUAGAUCAAGUGUGCCCUGACACGGGAUGUUGAGAAUCACUGCCUUGGAACAGUAGCUCUGACAUCAGACUACGAGCCAGAGAGUUCCUAGGGAACUUUUCUAAAAAUUCAGGUUACUGGGUCCCUAAUUCAGUAGUCCUAGAGAGGGGCUUGAGUACACAGGCACACACGCACACAGUACGUGUACAUGUGUGUGUGUGCCUGUGCCCAUAUUCAAACUUCCCCCAAGUGAUUCUGUCAUGGGAAGUGCUUCCUAGGAUCACUCCAUAUACUGAUGACACACAAUACAGCAGGCAGGACAUAGGUGACCUUCCCCAAAAGGGGUAAGGACAUACACCCUUGACAACUUGGAUACAAAAUCUGAGUGUGGCAAGUGCCCCAGUCACCAGUGGGGGCCGGGGCACAACACUGAAAAGGACAAGGUUAGCAAACCACGUCCCCUGUGGCCCCCAUUCCAGUCAUCACGCUGGUACCAACCAUCCUGCAAACCUUCCUCAGAACGCGACGGGAAUUGUGUCCUGCCCAAAGAACCGUGAGAGAAACAUCCUCAGGUCGGGGAAUAUGAGUUAGGAGGCAAUGCGGAGCCCGCCACCAUCAUUCCAUCCUGAAUGCUGCAGCUGCACAGCUUGUGAAUUUCAUGUAAAAUGCCAGGGCCGUCAUUCUUUUAGAUUCACCACGGUGAGGCUAUCUUGAUAAUAAUAAUAGCAACUCACAUAAACUAAGCACAUGUUUUGGGCUGUUCUAAAAACUCAUUUUAUAACUUUUUGAGGUGGGUACUCUGAUUUUUGCCAAUAGGGAAAUUGACGUACUGAGAGGUUAACUUGCCCAAGUUACUACCAAGCUGGUAAGUGGUAGAGCCAAGAUCUAAACCCAGGUGGUCUGGCUUUCAGAAAUAGCCCCACCUUACUGGGGGCUGUGUUAACAACCUCUAUGCAUCUCAGAAAAAGGGGCCAACAGAUUUUAUUCUGAUCAAAUUUGGAUGAAGGCAAAAAUGAAGGUUUGAAUCAUUUUGGAUUUGUGUAUGACGAUUUAAAAAUUGACAACCUUGCCAUUUAUUUAACACCCAUGAAAGAAGCUCCUUUUAGAAUGUUUAUGGGAAUCGGGCAGCUACCUAAAUGCUGUUUUAAAAAGGAGUCUAAUUCUCUUCAUUCCGAAGCAUUAGUUUAAGUUCCCACAAAUUCAACUCCUAUUAUUAUUGCUUAAUAUAAUAUUUAAAUAUUAGAAAUCAGGAA
Non-coding RNA from Microcebus murinus (gray mouse lemur), 3276 nucleotides. The record is from RefSeq and is a predicted model, not a curated record. Lineage: Eukaryota; Metazoa; Chordata; Mammalia; Primates; Cheirogaleidae.